RNAcentral lists this long non-coding RNA (347 nucleotides) under Jatropha curcas. RNAcentral's name for it is "long non-coding RNA (JCUR_LNC003334)". The record is from RNAcentral. Lineage: Eukaryota; Viridiplantae; Streptophyta; Magnoliopsida; Malpighiales; Euphorbiaceae.
GAUGAGAAAAUCAAACCAAAUGGGUUCAAGAAUGAGUUGGUUGCUUUUCAGGAAGAAGAGAUCUAUGAACAAGAAGUUUCAGAAGUUUGCAGCUUGAGCGAAACUGUGUCAACUACGACCUUCAAUAAUGACAAAAGAGAUGAAGAAUAUGACGACGACGACGAUGGUCGAUAUGGUGAAGAAGUUAAGCAAAGAGUAAAAAGAUCUCCGGUAGUAAAAUUACCUCCAAGAAACCGUUCAGUUUCAGGCGAUUUUGGUCCUAAGCGAGACCGGAUUGUCGGAAAAUCACCCAACCGGAGAACCGAGCAGUCGCCGAACAAAAGAAACAAUGCUGGUGGUGGUGCCGG